AAGAAAACGAAUAAGAAAAAGACGACGUUUUCGGAUGUUUUGGAUGUCGGAUGGUGUCGUUUCAAGUUUCGAAGUCACUGGGGAUUCGGCACGCAAAGAAGUGACAAAUUGUGUGCAUACGCUUAAAAAUGGCGACAAAGAACGAA
Non-coding RNA from Caenorhabditis elegans, 146 nucleotides. Lineage: Eukaryota; Metazoa; Nematoda; Chromadorea; Rhabditida; Rhabditidae. The record is from Ensembl.